CGCGCAGGCGGCCUUUUAAGUUGGAUGUGAAAGCCUAUGGCUCAACCAUAGAACUGCAUCCAAAACUAUCGGGCUAGAGUGUGGGAGAGGAAGAUGGAAUUAGUUGUGUAGGGGUAAAAUCCGUAGAGAUAACUAGGAAUACCAAAAGCGAAGGCAAUCUUCUGGAACAUUACUGACGCUGAGGCGCGAAAGCGUGGGGAGCAAACAGGAUUAGAUACCCUGGUAGUCC
RNAcentral lists this ribosomal RNA (229 nucleotides) under uncultured bacterium. RNAcentral describes it as "partial 16S ribosomal RNA". It matches the Rfam family "Bacterial small subunit ribosomal RNA", at positions 568 to 796 of the family's 1533-position model. The record is from RNAcentral.